Molecule: long non-coding RNA, 2952 nt
Organism: Esox lucius (northern pike)
Lineage: Eukaryota; Metazoa; Chordata; Actinopteri; Esociformes; Esocidae
Exons: 5
Source: RefSeq, a predicted model, not a curated record
UAAGAGUAGCUGUCACCAUGCCAACAAAGGAAAAAUAAAAUAACAAAGGAGCCAUUGAAUAAAAGCCUUUAUACAUAGGCUGGUUGGGGAUUCAGAUUCACAAGAAGUUGGGUGUUAUAUUGCAAAGUUCAAGAAACAAUGCCAAUUGAACAAUCCCAAGAUCCUUGUUUGGAUAUAAUGUAAACAAAAUAACUCCUGCACCCAGUCUGAGUAACAUGCAAUAAGAAUUUCGGUACCAAGAUUUCAACAGUUUACCCUCAACAGGCAACCUAAAGUUGGUUAAUAAAUUAGUAUUGCUAUUUACGCAGACUGGGUGCCAGAGUCCUUUUGUUUACUUGAAUCGACCUUUGGUCCUUUCGGUCGAUCUACAUGUGUGCAAACGUUUGGUUUCUCAAUGGAUAUAAUCAUGUGAAAACCCAAUGCAGAGCUCGAUCCAUCUUCAUUUGACAUGACAAACAGUUUUUUUUACGGGGAAGGCAAAUCAUAUCAGAAGUAAUUGCAAAAGAAACACUGGUCAGUUGGUUAUUCUCACUCUUUUCAGUCUCUAUUGAUUUCCACUCUGCUUUUGUCUUAGCUUGUGUCCACACAUUUCUUUGCACUUGGUGCACACUGCUGCAUCGGACAGUUUUUCUGUUGGCGAUCAUCUGCCUUGUGAUUUGACAUUAUAGCUACUUUACUCAAGUCCGUCAUUUGACUGGACUCAAGUCCUUUGGAGCAAAUUACGUUUACAGUGUUAAAUCAAUCAAACAGCGGAGAUGACACCGUUUUCCUAUUAUGGCUCAAAACUGGAUGGUGACGGACUCUUCACAGACUAUAUGUUUUGAUGGCCAAUCAAAUAAAUGCAAGUAGGAGGGCGUAGUGGUGGAAACAAAAUAAUCCAAUCUGUCAAAGAAAACCAGGAGUAAGGGCAUGACGAUGUUCAAUGACCAGUGAAAUUAAGAGAUUUGGAGUUCACUACAACCCCGCUUCUUUUGGAAACUAACGGGAACGUUUUACUACGCACUUUUUGUAUACUGGCGGUUGUAAUCAAAGUCUAACAUUUCAGUAAAGCGUCGAGAAUAAAUUCCAGUUAUUUCUAUUCAACUCGCCAAGACAUGGAAAUGGCUACUGAAAACGCGACAACAGUUCAAGGCAGUCAAAGUAAUUUUGUAACUACAAAUCAAGCUUGCUCUACAGAACGCCCGGGGCCUGGUCUUCUCGAGCAAGACGAAAUAUUUGUAGAACAGUUGACACAACACUGGUGUGCUGGGAUUAGUGGUAAAUAAGAUUAGUCUAAAAUGUAUUGAUGAAGAAUGGAGCUGGGCUGACUUUGAUGAUGCAACUGCAAGCAGAUACUGGACACAAAGGGAGAAACAUUGUUGGACAACCUGGACAAAGCAGCAAAGAGGCUUUGGCUAGUUGGCUGAAGGAACUAUUGGCUGAAGAGAAGUUGCAGUUUUCCGGGACAACUGAGGACAUGAUGUCUGGUAUGGAGACUGACCCCGGUAGAUUGUUGGUUUCCUCUCCUUGCUGGUACUCUGCUGAGUUUGAGUACCUGAUCAAAUCAGCUGACAAAUGAAGGAGAGAAGAGGCUUUGCCAAAACAACCACCACAGCCCUACCCUGAACACCUGAUUGCAAAGAAAAAUUUAAAGAGAAGAGAAGCUGUGUUAUACAUGGCAACUGAGGACAUGAUGUCGGGUGUGGAUACUGGAUUUUGGCGUGUCAGUGGGUACUGGAUGUUUUUAAUAAUGUGUCUCAAUAUUUAUUUGAUUUGAAAUAAUAUACAGAACAUAUCUUGUAACCCUGUUACAUUUUUUGUAUACUUUGUAGAAUGUUCUGUUGCUGCGUCUCUCUGAGGGUACAUACAAGCAUUUUCUUGUCAAACUUGUUUACACUACUUUGACAAUUGUACAUCUGUUUAUUUGUACACAUUCAUUGUGAAAUACUGUAUUUUCUGCACUUAAAAUAAUAAAAGCAUUUUACUGGUAUAUGCUGUGGCUGAAUAAACAUGGGGGGGUAGGGGAAAAACGGGGGGUUUACAGGGUAAAAGUUGUGAAAUAUCCUAAUGUCUUUACUGGUGGACACUCGUUAAAUGUCAAGGUCUGGAAUCAUCGCCAGUCACAAUCUGUCCUCCAUUGAUAUGUUAAUACCUCACAGCAGGGGGUUGGGUGGUAACAAUGGUGAGGUUUGUGUUUCACGAUAUGUCCUAAUGCCCAGUGGUGGGGUUUCCUUUAAAGGGAAGAGUAGAAGAAUGUCCCAUGCUGGAGCUGUUGCCAGUCAGGAUUCAAACUUUUCUUGACUGUUGAUUGUUCCUUUUCGUGAAAAGUCACGACAUAAACCGGCUUUGGAGUGUUGAGUAGUUCAAGGCUGUAGUUCUCACGACUGGACUGGAAUUGGCAACAUUCGUAAGAGGUGUCAAGAUAACUAGGACUAUGAAAUGGGUAUUUGGCACAGUGAACAGGAGUGGAAGGCCCCGGUGCACAACUUAGCAAUAGAAUAAAUACAUUUGACUGUCUAGUUUGAGAAACAGACUCCUCACAGGUCCUCAACUGGCAGCUUCAUUAAACAGUACCCACAAAACGUGAACAGUGAAGAAGUGACUCCGGGAUGAUGGCCUUCUAGAUCAAAGAAGAUCCAUAUCUCAGGCAUAAUAACACAGACACUGGGGAGAGGAAGUUUGGAAAGAAAGUGUUAUGGACAGACUAAUCUAAGUUUGAGGUGUUCGAAUCACAAAGAAGAACAAUCGUAAGACACAGACCAAAUAAAACGGAGGAGUGCUUGAUGCCAUCUGUCAAGGAUGGUGAAGGCAAUGUACUUCGGUGGUACUUUGGUGGUGGUGAAGUGGGAGAUUUGUUCAGGGUCAAAGAGAUUAUGAAGAAGGAAUGCUAUCACUCCUUUUUGCAACUCCAUGCCAUACCCUGUGUGUCUGUGCUUGAUUGGAGCCAAUUUCCUCCUACAAUAGGACAGUGAC